UGCCGCGUGGGUGAAGAAGGCCUUCGGGUUGUAAAGCCCUUUUGUUGGGAAAGAAAAGCAGUCGGUUAAUACCCGAUUGUUCUGACGGUACCCAAAGAAUAAGCACCGGCUAACUUCGUGCCAGCAGCCGCGGUAAUACGAAGGGUGCAAGCGUUACUCGGAAUUACUGGGCGUAAAGCGUGCGUAGGUGGUGGUUUAAGUCCGUUGUGAAAGCCCUGGGCUCAACCUGGGAAUUGCAGUGGAUACUGGGUCACUAGAGUGUGGUAGAGGGUAGCGGAAUUCCCGGUGUAGCAGUGAAAUGCGUAAAGAUCGGGAGGAACAUCUGUGGCGAAGGCGGCUACCUGGACCAACACUGACACUGAGGCACGAAAGCGUGGGGAGCAAACAGGAUUAAAUACCCUGGUAGUCCACGCCCUAAACGAUGCUAACUGGAUGUUGGGUGCAAUUUGGCACGCACUAUCGAAGCUAACGCGUUAAGUUCGCCGCCUGGGGAGUACGGUCGCAAGACUGAAACUCAAAGGAAUUGACGGGGGCCCGCACAAGCGGUGGAGUAUGUGGUUUAAUUCUAUGCAACGCGAAGAAUCUUACCUGGUCUUGACAUCCACGGAACUUUCUAGAGAU
This 621-nucleotide ribosomal RNA is filed under the name Xanthomonas sp. Ri2Ps_4927. RNAcentral's name for it is "bacterial SSU rRNA". It matches the Rfam family "Bacterial small subunit ribosomal RNA", at positions 395 to 1007 of the family's 1533-position model. The record is from RNAcentral. Lineage: Bacteria; Pseudomonadati; Pseudomonadota; Gammaproteobacteria; Lysobacterales; Lysobacteraceae.